ACACUAGCUGGGAGAACUACCGAGCUUCACGUACACAGCUCAGGAAGGAAUUACAGAUGGACGUAUUUACCAACCAAAUGCAUGUUACAUCUGACAGCUGCAACCCCAAAAAUCAUAAUAAUUGGGGUCCUGUUUAAUAAGUUAUCUAAGAUCCAUGUAUGCAGAGAACUUCUUCGGAUUCAGUCCAUCAUUCAGUCCAUCAUUGACUUUUUCUUCUAAAGGGACCUUGUCGUCUGAGUUCUUGUUAUGUUCAGGCAAUUUGUUCAUUCCAAUUCCUG
Long non-coding RNA from Hyla sarda, 278 nucleotides. RefSeq lists it as uncharacterized. Lineage: Eukaryota; Metazoa; Chordata; Amphibia; Anura; Hylidae. The transcript has 3 exons. The record is from RefSeq and is a predicted model, not a curated record.